Molecule: ribosomal RNA, 497 nt
Filed under: uncultured bacterium
Lineage: Bacteria
Description: partial 16S ribosomal RNA
Rfam family: Bacterial small subunit ribosomal RNA
Source: RNAcentral
GAUGAACGCUGGCGGCGUGCCUAAUACAUGCAAGUCGAGCGAACGGACGAGAAGCUUGCUUCUCUGAUGUUAGCGGCGGACGGGUGAGUAACACGUGGAUAACCUACCUAUAAGACUGGGAUAACUUCGGGAAACCGGAGCUAAUACCGGAUGAUAUUUUGAACCGCAUGGUUCAAAAGUGAAAGACGGUCUUGCUGUCACUUAUAGAUGGAUCCGCGCUGCAUUAGCUAGUUGGUAAGGUAACGGCUUACCAAGGCAACGAUGCAUAGCCGACCUGAGAGGGUGAUAGGCCACACUGGAGCUGAGACACGGUCCAGACUCCUAAGGGACGCAGCAGUAGGGAACCGUCCGCAAUGGGCGAAAGCCUGACGGAGCAACGCCGCGUGAGUGAUGAAGGUGUUCGGAUCGUAAAACUCUGUUAUUAGGGAAGAACAUAUGUGUAAGUAACUGUGCCCAUCUUGACGGUACCUAAUCAGAAAGCCACGGCUAACUACGUG